RNAcentral lists this ribosomal RNA (449 nucleotides) under Aleiodes chenduplus. Its description in RNAcentral is "LSU rRNA". The record is from RNAcentral. Lineage: Eukaryota; Metazoa; Arthropoda; Insecta; Hymenoptera; Braconidae.
CCUGAGAAACCCAAAAGAUCGAAUGGGGAGAUUCAUCGUCAGCUCAUUAUGUAUAUAUUAAAGUUACGAUGCGGGUUACUACUUGUAGUAUUGCCUGCACGUUCUUUUAUAUUUAGUUGCAAAAUGUUGUCGGCGUGCACUUCUUCCCUAGUAGGACGUCGCGACCCGUUGUGUGUCGGUUUACGGCCCAAGUGAUAGUCUUUAAUGUAAUUUAAAAAUCAUUGAAGAUCCUUGGUGUUUUCUAACCGGCUACACGGCGGUACUCGUACGGUAUUUAGCCGCUAAUUUUUAUUAGCGUCCAUGUCCGUCACAAGCAAGAUCAAUUUACUAAUAGUACGGACCUAGUGCCGUCGUUGGUAUUGUUCAGCUGUUGGUUGUACGUGAUUCUGGGACUGGCUAAAAAUUUUUAAUUACCGGUCGGCGAUGCUACUGCUUUGGGUACUUUCAGG